Long non-coding RNA from Sparus aurata (gilthead seabream), 1631 nucleotides. NCBI's taxonomy places the organism in Eukaryota, Metazoa, Chordata, Actinopteri, Spariformes, Sparidae. The record is from Ensembl.
AUGGCGGACGAACGUACAGUGGUCGCGGAGCAGGAGCGGAUGUUUAAAUUGCUACAUGACUCGGACAGUGACACACCAGAGCCAGGGAGUCUGUCAGGCACAGAGGAGCCAGGGCCUCCAAAAAGGCCAAGGCGUGAUGCAAUAUUGGAGUUGCUGGAGAGGGAGGAAAAGAGGGCAGAGGAGAGAGACAGGAGAGCUGAGGCCAGGCAGGAGAGGCUGUUAAACCUUCUCGAAAAGACUGUUGAAAAAAUUUGAGAGAGAUAAAAAAAGGAGAUAUUCAUUAAUAAAAUGUUCUUUAAAAAGUUUAUGAGCACUGACUGAACUCAUAUCUAUAACAUACCAACAAUGUGUCAGAAACAAAAACUGAUAUAACAAUAAGAUGUUUACAAGGCAAAUUAUUGGUGCAUAAACAUUUAUCAGUAAUAACUAAUUAACAAAUCAUUACGAUAUCAUUUAAAACUAUUUACAAGAAGUAUAACAUAACAAUAACAAUAACCUAACCUAACCUAACUUUUUUUUUAUUUUGUUAUUUUUAGCAAUAGUCAUGUUCCUGAAGAACGGGAGGAGCUUGUCUGGUGCAGACAGCGCAGCAGCGAUAUGCCCGCACAGCUGUUCCCCAUAGUGCAGGUCCUGCUGAGGCUGCUUACCUCCAUUAUCUGGAGCCUCUUCCAGAUAUGUCCCCAUCUCUGAUGCACAGGUUAUGCAAUAUUGUACAACAGGCAAUCACCUUCACCGCAAAUGCAGGGUGCACCUUGAGAGCCUUGAAGAAGACGGCUCGCCAUCUGGUUUUCAUCAUGCCAAAGGCCCGUUCGAUGACAGAACGUGCCUUUGCAUGGUGCCGGUUAAAUCACCCAGCAACCACACCCCUCACAGGCUCUCUGUAGGGAGUUACGAGAGCGAUUGGUCGGGACAUGCAGGGGUAUCCACCAUCCCCUAGGAUGCAGUAGCCCUCAGGUGGGUACAGGCUCUGUACAUAAAGAGGGUUGUUUUUUAGGACUCUAGAGUCAUGUACAGACCCUGGAUAGCUGACAAAUAUAUCAAUAAAUUGGCACUGGCAGUCACACACAGCUUGCAAUUGGAUCAAAUGAAACAAUUUCAAAUUAAAAUAGACCUGGGCAUCUGCACCAAGUGGCUUUAUGCGGACAUGGCAGCCAUUGAUGCUUCCCACAACCCUGGCGAAUGCUGGUGAUCCAGCCAGCCGUGCAAAGCCAGCACUAAUUUCUUGCAGGUCAUCAGGGGCUGGAGAGCGGAUGACCCUGUUUUUAAUUUGUAUUAAUUUGUCAGCAACCCUGUGGAUGACAUCGUGCACAGUGGACCAUGGCAUGCCAAAUGCUCUCGACACAACGUAAUAGGAUGUCGCACUCGCCAGCCAAAAUAGGAAGACCAGAACCUCAAGGGCAUGACCCCAGCCAUGGUCAAACGGAGAGCAGAGGACGUGGACAAGAUGGGCCACUGUGGGUCUGGAGAGGUGGAAGUCUGGCCAGGGGUCACUUUGGCUAUCGAAGUACAAACUGCUGGUUCCCAGCCUGCAGUACUGAGUUGGUUGUUCAUGCUGUAAAUAAAUAAAAAAUAAAACUGAUAAUAUGGUGUCAUAAAAUGAAAUGAGCAGUAGUAAUUAUUUUUAACUUAUA